RNAcentral lists this ribosomal RNA (155 nucleotides) under Kerodon rupestris (Rock cavy). RNAcentral describes it as "partial small subunit ribosomal RNA". The record is from RNAcentral. Lineage: Eukaryota; Metazoa; Chordata; Mammalia; Rodentia; Caviidae.
UUUUCGCCUGAAAACUACUAGCCACAGCUUAAAACUCAAAGGACUUGGGGGGGCUUUAUACCCACCUAGAGGAGCCUGUUCUAUAAUCGAUAAACCCCGAUACACCUCACCACUUCUUGCUAAUACAGCCUAUAUACCGCCAUCUUCAGCAAACA